RNAcentral lists this long non-coding RNA (2190 nucleotides) under Brachypodium distachyon (stiff brome). RNAcentral's name for it is "long non-coding RNA (BDIS_LNC001180)". The record is from RNAcentral. Lineage: Eukaryota; Viridiplantae; Streptophyta; Magnoliopsida; Poales; Poaceae.
ACCACCAUGAUAAUGCAUCAAAACGAAAUUUACUACUAGCAAUUUGGACCUUACGACUAUCUAGUACAUGGAAGCAUGUGAAUUGUUCAGUUAAAACUAGCUCCCAAUCUAUAUACGUUUCAGCAUCAUUUUCCCCCUCAAAGAAAGGUACACACAAUUUAAUUGUAUUACAAGGAUUGUUUUGUACCGUUGCCGUGGCAUUAUCAACAAGAGACGUGGAGGAUGGCCGUGGUGAAAAGCACUCAUCGCGGUCAUGGGAUAGCAUCGGUCUAGUUGCCAUGCUUCGUGUAAGUCCUGUCAUGGUUAGUAGAAAACAAGAAACAAAUCACAGUAAUAUGUUCCUAUCAACUACUAGGAUGUGGCUACAAGUCGCUCAACUCUCAAGCUAAAAAUCAAGUUCUUACAAGUUCUUACCAUGCAAAGCAGGAAGGUGAUGGCCAGCGGCGUGACCAAGCCCUCCGAAUAUUAGAUGUAUCGAUGCCUCGGUAACAAACCAACCUAGGUGUAGAAUCUGUGGAGCUUGGAGGCUUUUGUGAGUAGCAAGGAAUAGCAAAUAAUCAAAUCAGCAAUGCAAAAUUGAAAAUAUGCUCAAUAAUGCUAGUCCUAACUGCUGGAGUCGAUAAGAACGAAUUACAGAAAUAAUCUAAGCCUAGAUACUGAAGAAGGUAGGAUAAAAAGAUGGCACAACAAGUAAAUCCCUAGGAUUUUUUUUUCUUUUUUUCUUCUUUUUGUGGCCUUCUCUUUGGCUUCUUAUUCUUUUCUUCUUUUUUCUUUUUUAACCCCAGAAACUCACGCAAAAGAAGGACCGGAAAACUGUACGUCGGUCUGUCGAAGAACAGCACAGGCUGCAGUAAGAAAAAUUCAGAAAAAUAUGAAAAAAUAUAGGUUAGAAGGGUAUCGACACAAGCUUUCCAGCAAGGGCAAGAUCACUCAAAACGGAUGUUGGACGGUGGAGAAAACUGAGAAACACCGGGCUGCAGCAACGCCGGAAAACGGAUACAGAAACUUGGAAGCUCCAAAAGUCCACCUUACAAACCGAAUUUGAGGGUCAAAGUGCAGGGCAAGGCGCUGGAUAUUUUCUGAUGCGCCUCGUCGUGAGCUUUCCAAAAAGUCCAAGAACGUCCAAAUCCGAGUUGGUACGCAAAAGAUAUGCCCGUUUUACUAAACACGGGUCAAACCCACCCGAAACUAAAAUUCUACUCGGACUCGGGUCCGAAACUGACUCGAACUCGGGUCCGAAACUGACUCGAACUCUUUCUCUUUUUUUUUCCUUUUUCUUUCUUUCUUUCUUUCUUUUUUUUUCUUUCCUUUCUUUUUUUUUCAACUUUCCAAACAACUUGAUCUCUAAACAAAAUUCGAUCUAUGAUGAAACACUUUCCAAAAGCACUCCUUAUUGGACUCGGACUCGAACUCGCGGCUGAAAACUAUUACUUGCCGACUCGAUGUAGAACUCGAAGAGGGACUCGGUGUAGGACUCGAAGAGGGACUCGGUGGAAGAUAUGGUGGCGGCGGGAGAUUAUGGCGGUGGUGUGGCAAGAAAUUUGGCGGCGGAAGAUUGAUGAAGGAAACCUGCGUCACACGAAGAACAAGAAAACCAAAAGCAAGUUCGAUCUACUAGAAAAAAUUCUGAAAAACGAUCCAAUCUAAUCCAGCAACUCGACACGAUUAAUGCAGCAAAGAUUCAACAAUGCAAAUACUAAAGCGAAAAUUGCAAGGCUCAGAUUGGUUCUAGGACAAGGUAACGAAUUCUAAUUUUUAUUUGGCUUUUUCUGGACGAUAGGUAAAAACAGAUCUACACUACGGAUAAACUGGAAAAAUGUCACCGAGCAACCUUAAGCUCUGAUAUCACGUGAUAUGGGUGGGGUGGCCCGAUCUUUCGAUGAGAUGGAUAACUCUCGAUUUGGGUAGGAGGUGACGUUGACGAUCCGACUACGGCCUAGAAGGCAGCGUCUUAGCAAUCGAUACACCAACUUUAGAGGGUUAUUGAUCACGCGGGGGCACGAUCAACCUGACCACGAAGGUCUUUGUUCCUGCAAGCAAUCGAAGAACAAGCAAGAACAAGAUAAAUAGCGGAUGCAAUCUGAAAUUGCGAAUAUACUAUAUCAAACCAAUGUCUCAACGAGACGAUAAGUUGGAGUCUUGACGACGGUAAAACAGGUGGUCUAACCGACAGAUUACACGAAAGUAGCA